AACAGGAUUAGAUACCCGGGUAGUCCAUGCCGUAAACGAUGAGUGCUAAGUGUUGGAGGGUUUCCGCCCUUCAGUGCUGCAGCUAACGCAUUAAGCACUCCGCCUGGGGAGUACGACCGCAAGGUUGAAACUCAAAGGAAUUGACGGGGGCCCGCACAAGCGGUGGAGCAUGUGGUUUAAUUCGAUGCUACGCGAAGAACCUUACCAGGUCUUGACAUCUUCUGCCAACCUAAGAGAUUAGGUGUUCCCUUCGGGGACAGAAUGACAGGUGGUGCAUGGUUGUCGUCAGCUCGUGUCGUGAGAUGUUGGGUUAAGUCCCGCAACGAGCGCAACCCUUAUUGUUAGUUGCCAGCAUUUAGUUGGGCACUCUAGCAAGACUGCCGGUGACAAACCGGAGGAAGGUGGGGAUGACGUCAAAUCAUCAUGCCCCUUAUGACCUGGGCUACACACGUGCUACAAUGGACGGUACAACGAGUCGCGAAACCGCGAGGUCAAGCUAAUCUCUUAAAGUCGUUCUCAGUUCGGAUUGUAGGCUGCAACUCGCCUACAUGAAGUUGGAAUCGCUAGUAAUCGUGGAUCAGCAUGCCACGGUGAAUACGUUCCCGGGCCUUGUACACACCGCCCGUCACACCAUGAGAGUUUGUAACACCCAAAGCCGGUGAGGUAACCUUCGGGGACCAGCCGUCUAAGGUGGGACAGAUGAUUAGGGUGAAGUCGUAACAAGGUAACC
This 730-nucleotide ribosomal RNA is filed under the name uncultured Lactobacillus sp. RNAcentral describes it as "bacterial SSU rRNA". It matches the Rfam family "Bacterial small subunit ribosomal RNA", at positions 771 to 1501 of the family's 1533-position model. The record is from RNAcentral. Lineage: Bacteria; Bacillati; Bacillota; Bacilli; Lactobacillales; Lactobacillaceae.